RNAcentral lists this transfer-messenger RNA (345 nucleotides) under human gut metagenome. It matches the Rfam family "transfer-messenger RNA". Rfam says of the family: Bacterial tmRNA, also known as 10Sa RNA or SsrA, is named for its dual tRNA and mRNA-like properties. The record is from RNAcentral.
GGGGACGUUCCGGUUUCGACGGGGAUGUUGAAGCACGGGAAGCGGGUCGCAGCGGGAACUGCGUUAAAAGCCCAAACCUAAAAUUAAAAGCUAACAAUAACGUAGCUUACGCUGCCUAAUUAGGCGGCCGUUCUUACCGGGAGGACCACGACCCGGAUAAGAGCGUCACACAGUGGUGAACGUGACGCGGUUAAGCUUUGCGCCGUGCAUGACAAAUGAAGCUACCAAAACCGUUCGGCUGUCAUUCGCCGUGCGGCAGAGGGAAUGAUUAACGAAUGACUGCACCCGGAGAUGCCUGUGUGAAUAUGUUUUCGGACAGGGGUUCAACCCCCCUCGUCUCCACCA